UACGUAGGUCCCGAGCGUUGUCCGGAUUUAUUGGGCGUAAAGCGAGCGCAGGUGGUUUAUUAAGUCUGGUGUAAAAGGCAGUGGCUCAACCAUUGUAUGCAUUGGAAACUGGUAGACUUGAGUGCAGGAGAGGAGAGUGGAAUUCCAUGUGUAGCGGUGAAAUGCGUAGAUAUAUGGAGGAACACCGGUGGCGAAAGCGGCUCUCUGGCCUGUAACUGACACUGAGACACGAAAGCGUGGGGAGCAAACAGG
RNAcentral lists this ribosomal RNA (252 nucleotides) under uncultured bacterium. RNAcentral's name for it is "partial 16S ribosomal RNA". It matches the Rfam family "Bacterial small subunit ribosomal RNA", at positions 524 to 776 of the family's 1533-position model. The record is from RNAcentral.